Molecule: non-coding RNA, 899 nt
Organism: Lactuca sativa (garden lettuce)
Lineage: Eukaryota; Viridiplantae; Streptophyta; Magnoliopsida; Asterales; Asteraceae
Source: RefSeq, a predicted model, not a curated record
AUAACCCCCAACACCAAUAAUCGACCCACAACCCUUCGAUAAACCCAAAACCUCAUCACGAAGCCGAUUCGAUACAUCGUGAACGGAAAACGCCGCACAGCCAUUGAUUCCGGCAGUAAGCUUAUCGAUUCCACAGCGAGUGCAUCGAGGUAGGAAUUAAACGGUGAUUUACAGCAUUUAUCUUUCAAAAAAUCAUCCCACGUUCCUUCUUCGCAAUUUUGUGAGGUUGUUAGGCUUUUGAAUUCGAGAGGGCAUUGAGUUGAAGCGGAUUGAGACGACACCGUUUUGAUAAUCGAACCAGUUAACCAAAUAAACACGAUUAGGUUCCGAAAAUCCAUUAACGAUGACAGAUUUUCUAGAAAUCGAAGUAGGAGUUUAUCUGUUAUGAGUAAAUGAACAAAUUUCAAUGGAGUUUUAGGUUUUGUUUAUAUUGAAAAUGGUUGGGGUGUAGAAUGUUUGUUUGAUAUAAGGGGAAUCGGAUACAACGUCAAUUUAUGAUGUGUUUUCUUUUUUUAUUGUUAUUGUUGUCUUGUUGUUCUUGUUGCCAUUGGAGUGAGAAAUCUAGUUGUCAGCGGAAUUGAUGGUGAAGGCCGAAGGGAUAUCCUAAGUUUUAGUUUUGUGCUUUGGUGGGUUGUACGUUGUGUUGGUAUGGUUGUACUUAUUGGUAUUUUAUGUGGGUUGGAUAGAAGAUUCAGCAUGAAGGAUUUGCCCAUUUGGAGUUUAAGGAUAUAUUAUUUUGUAAUAUUCAAGGAAAUAUGUUGUUUUAUUUGGUUAUUAUCGUUUACUUUGUAAUUUAAUAUUAUAUAGGAUUGUAAACUAACUGAACGUUCAGCGAAAUGUUCGUGAACCGUUCGGCAGGAAGUUUGUUUAUUUAAUAAACGAACGAAUAUAAACACAAA